UAGGGAAUCUUCCGCAAUGGGCGAAAGCCUGACGGAGCAACGCCGCGUGAGUGAUGAAGGUCUUCGGAUCGUAAAACUCUGUUAUUAGGGAAGAACAAAUGUGUAAGUAACUAUGCACGUCUUGACGGUACCUAAUCAGAAAGCCACGGCUAACUACGUGCCAGCAGCCGCGGUAAUACGUAGGUGGCAAGCGUUAUCCGGAAUUAUUGGGCGUAAAGCGCGCGUAGGCGGUUUUUUAAGUCUGAUGUGAAAGCCCACGGCUCAACCGUGGAGGGAUAUUGGAAGCUGGAAAACUUGAGUGCAGAAGAGGAAAGUGUAAUUCCAUGUGUAGCGGUGAAAUGCGCAGAGCUAUGGAGGAACCCCAGUGGCGAAGGCGACUUUCUGGUCUGUAACUGACGCUGAUGUGCGAAAGCGUGGUGAUCAAACAGG
This 429-nucleotide ribosomal RNA is filed under the name Actinomycetes bacterium. RNAcentral's name for it is "Actinobacteria bacterium partial 16S ribosomal RNA". It matches the Rfam family "Bacterial small subunit ribosomal RNA", at positions 355 to 776 of the family's 1533-position model. Lineage: Bacteria; Bacillati; Actinomycetota; Actinomycetes. The record is from RNAcentral.